Molecule: ribosomal RNA, 357 nt
Filed under: uncultured bacterium
Lineage: Bacteria
Description: bacterial SSU rRNA
Rfam family: Bacterial small subunit ribosomal RNA
Source: RNAcentral
AUUGAACGCUGGCGGCAGGCCUAACACAUGCAAGUCGAGCGGUAGAGAGGUGCUUGCAUCUCUUGAGAGCGGCGGACGGGUGAGUAAUGCCUAGGAAUCUGCCUAGUGGUGGGGGAUAACGUUCGGAAACGGACGCUAAUACCGCAUACGUCCUACGGGAGAAAGCGGGGGAUCUUCGGACCUCGCGCCAUUAGAUGAGCCUAGGUCGGAUUAGCUAGUUGGUGAGGUAAUGGCUCACCAAGGCGACGAUCCGUAACUGGUCUGAGAGGAUGAUCAGUCACACUAAGAACUGAGACACGGUCCAGACUCCGUACGGGAGGCAGCAGGUAGGGGAAUAGUUGGACAAGUGGGCGACAA